AAGAGUAAGGGUCUCUGGCCCGAACCUCCAACCCUCUGUUGUUAAAACUACCUUGUUGCUUUGGCGGGACCGCUUGGUCCUCCGAGCGCGUCGGUCUUCGGAUUGACGAGCGCCCGCCAGAGUCCAACCAAACUCUUGUAUUAAACCAGUCGUCUGAGUAUAAAAUUUUAAUUUAAUUA
Molecule: unclassified non-coding RNA, 179 nt
Filed under: uncultured Metschnikowia
Lineage: Eukaryota; Fungi; Ascomycota; Pichiomycetes; Serinales; Metschnikowiaceae
Description: sequence contains ITS1
Source: RNAcentral